This 264-nucleotide long non-coding RNA is filed under the name Homo sapiens (human). Its description in RNAcentral is "HSALNT0044738". Lineage: Eukaryota; Metazoa; Chordata; Mammalia; Primates; Hominidae. The record is from RNAcentral.
GGAAUGCUUUGCUGUGGCUCUCAAUGCUUUUAGUAUUCUGGUCUGCUUUCUCCCCUCUUGGGAAAGAUUUAAGGGGAUUUAAAGACUGAAGACAGGAAGACAGUAGAAGUCCAGAAAAGAAACGGAAUGCUACUGGAAGUUAUAAGAGGAAAUCAUCAAAGGGGAGCAUUGGCCUUGAAAAUUCUUCUUUCAGUGGAGGGAGGUUAAUGCUGUUAUUCACCAGACUUUAUAGGAUAAAGAAAUAGAUGAAAUAUAGAAUCUAGG